GACAGAGGUGCCGAGCGUUAGGCGGAAUCACUGGGCUUAAAGCGUGUGUAGGCGGAUCUGCAAGUACCUUGUGAAAUCCCACGGCUCAACCGUGGAACUGCUUGGUAUACUGCGGGUCUUGAGCCACCUAGGGGCAAGUGGAACAAACGGUGGAGCGGUGAAAUGCGUAGAUAUCGUUUGGAACGCCAAUGGUGAAAACAACUUGCUGGGGGUGUGCUGACGCUGAGACACGAAAGCCAGGGGAGCAAACGGG
This 253-nucleotide ribosomal RNA is filed under the name uncultured bacterium. Its description in RNAcentral is "partial 16S ribosomal RNA". It matches the Rfam family "Bacterial small subunit ribosomal RNA", at positions 524 to 776 of the family's 1533-position model. The record is from RNAcentral.